This 424-nucleotide ribosomal RNA is filed under the name uncultured bacterium. RNAcentral describes it as "bacterial SSU rRNA". It matches the Rfam family "Bacterial small subunit ribosomal RNA", at positions 358 to 773 of the family's 1533-position model. The record is from RNAcentral.
GGAAUUUUUCGCAAUGGGGGCAACCCUGACGAAGCAACGCCGCGUGGAGGAUGAAGGCCCUCGGGUUGUAAACUCCUGUCGACCGGGACGAAAACCGCCUGACCUAAUACGUCAAGCGGUCGACUGUACCGGUGGAGGAAGCCACGGCCAACUCUGUGCCAGCCGCCGCGGUAAUACAGAGGUGGCAAGCGUUGUUCGGAAUUACUGGGCGUAAAGGGCGCGUAGGCGGCCUUUCAAGUCCUGUGUGAAAUCCCUCGGCUCAACUGAGGAACUGCACAGGAUACUGUUUGGCUUGAGUUCGGGAGAGGGAAGCGGAAUUCCGGGUGUAGCGGUGAAAUGCGUAGAUAUCCGGAGGAACACCGGUGGCGAAGGCGGCUUCCUGGACCGACACUGACGCUGAGGCGCGAAAGCUGGGGGAGCAAAC